CUAGCGGCGCGCUUAACGCAUGCAAGUCGAGCGAUGAGGCUCCCUUCGGGGAGUCAUCAGCGGCAGACGGGUGAGUAACACGUAGAUAACCUGCCCUCAAGACGGGGACAACCGGUGGAAACAGCGGCUAAUACCCGAUAUGCUCACAGGAUCGGGAGAUCGAGUGAGGAAAGCGCCCCUUCGGGGGAGAGUGUUUGAGGAGGGAUCUGCGGCCCAUCAGCUAGUUGGUGAGGUAACGGCUCACCAAGGCGAAGACGGGUAGGGGGUGUGAGAGCAUGGCCCCCCACAAUGGGACUGAGACACGGCCCAUACUCCUACGGGAGGCAGCAGCGGGGAAUAUUGCGCAAUGGACGGAAGUCAGACGCGGCGACGCCGCGUGGGUGAGGAAGGCCUUCGGGUUGUAAAGCCCUUUUCAGGGGAGCGAGAAAGGACGGUACCCUUGGAAUAAGCGUCGGCUAACUACGUGCCAGCAGCCGCGGUAAGACGUAGGACGCAAGCGUUAUCCGGAUUUACUGGGCGUAAAGCGCCUGUAGGCGGUCAAGUAAGUCGGAUGUGAAAGCCCCGUGCUCAACGCGGGGAAGCCAUUCGAUACUGCGUGACUAGAGAACGGCAGAGGGAAACGGAAUUUCUGGUGUAGCGGUAAAAUGCGCAGAGAUCAGAAAGAACACCGAUGGCGAAGGCAGUUUCCUAGGCCGCAUCUGACGCUGAGAGGCGAAAGCUAGGGGAGCAAACAGGAUUAGAGACCCUGGUAGUCCUAGCUGUAAACGAUGGAUGCUAGGUGUGGGCCGGAAAGGUCCGUGCCGUAGUUAACGCGAUAAGCAUCCCGCCUGGGGAGUACGGCCGCAAGGCUAAAACUCAAACGAAUUGACGGGGACCCGCACAAGCAGCGGAGCGUGUGGUUUAAUUCGAUGCUACACGCAGAACCUUACCUGGGCUUGACAUGUAGGUGGUUUAGUGAAGUGAAA
This 965-nucleotide ribosomal RNA is filed under the name uncultured organism. Its description in RNAcentral is "bacterial SSU rRNA". It matches the Rfam family "Bacterial small subunit ribosomal RNA", at positions 36 to 1006 of the family's 1533-position model. The record is from RNAcentral.